UAAGCAAGAUCGAUAGUUAAUCCCUGUUUUUCUGAUGAUUCUGAAAAAAUCACAGUCGAAAGUGCACAUAUUUUAAAAGGAAAGAUGGAAAACGACAUGAAAAAAUAAAUUAAUGGGAGCAAAAGAAGACGAAGAAGAAAGGAGCCGCAA
Non-coding RNA from Caenorhabditis elegans, 150 nucleotides. The record is from Ensembl. Lineage: Eukaryota; Metazoa; Nematoda; Chromadorea; Rhabditida; Rhabditidae.